UAAUCAAUGAUGAAACCUAUCCCGAAGCUGAUA
This 33-nucleotide non-coding RNA is filed under the name Macaca fascicularis (crab-eating macaque). Lineage: Eukaryota; Metazoa; Chordata; Mammalia; Primates; Cercopithecidae. The record is from RNAcentral. RNAcentral also lists the same sequence under 1 other name.